UACGUAGGGCGCAAGCGUUGUCCGGAAUUAUUGGGCGUAAAGAGCUCGUAGGUGGCUUGUCACGUCGGGUGUGAAAGCUUGGGGCUUAACUCCAGGUCUGCAUUCGAUACGGGCUGGCUAGAGGUAGGUAGGGAGAACGGAAUUCCUGGUGUAGCGGUGAAAUGCGCAGAUAUCAGGAGGAACACCGGUGGCGAAGGCGGUUCUCUGGCCUUACCUGACGCUGAGGAGCGAAGCGUGGGAGCGAACAGG
Molecule: ribosomal RNA, 249 nt
Filed under: uncultured bacterium
Lineage: Bacteria
Description: partial 16S ribosomal RNA
Rfam family: Bacterial small subunit ribosomal RNA
Source: RNAcentral